UGGGGAAUCUUGCGCAAUGGGCGAAAGCCUGACACAGCAACGCCGCGUGAGCGAAGAAGGCCUUCGGGUUGUAAAGCUCUGUCAGGGGGAAAGAAGGCACCUGGGUUAAUAGCCCAAGGGCUGACGGUACCUCCAAAGGAAGCCACGGCUAACUACGUGCCAGCAGCCGCGGUAAUACGUAGGUGGCGAGCGUUGUCCGGAAUCAUUGGGCGUAAAGAGCGCGUAGGUGGCUUGUCAGGUCUGAUGCGAAAACCUGGGGCUUAACUCCAGGCCUGCAUCGGAAACCGGCUUGCUAGAGUCUGGGAGAGGAGAGCGGAAUUCCUGGUGUAGCGGUGAAAUGCGUAGAUAUCAGGAGGAACACCGGUAGCGAAGGCGGCUCUCUGGAACAGUACUGACGCUGAGGCGCGAAAGCUAGGGGAGCGAACAG
This 427-nucleotide ribosomal RNA is filed under the name uncultured bacterium. RNAcentral describes it as "bacterial SSU rRNA". It matches the Rfam family "Bacterial small subunit ribosomal RNA", at positions 355 to 775 of the family's 1533-position model. The record is from RNAcentral.